This 503-nucleotide ribosomal RNA is filed under the name uncultured bacterium. RNAcentral describes it as "partial 16S ribosomal RNA". It matches the Rfam family "Bacterial small subunit ribosomal RNA", at positions 28 to 523 of the family's 1533-position model. The record is from RNAcentral.
GAUGAACGCUAGCGAUAGGCCUAACACAUGCAAGUCGAGGGGCAGCAUAGAGUAGCAAUACUUUGAUGGCGACCGGCGCACGGGUGAGUAACACGUAUGCAACCUACCUACAUCAGGGGAACAACCCGGAGAAAUUCGGACUAAUACCGCAUAAUACAGGGAUGCCGCAUGGCAAUAUUUGUUAAAGAUUUAUCGGAUGUAGAUGGGCAUGCGUUCCAUUAGCUUGUUGGUGAGGUAACGGCUCACCAAGGCAACGAUGGAUAGGGGAACUGAGAGGUUUGUCCCCCACACUGGAACUGAGACACGGACCAGACUCCUACGGGAGGCAGCAGUGAGGAAUAUUGGUCAAUGGACGAGAGUCUGAACAAGCCAAAUCGCGUGAAGGAAGACUGCCCUACGGGUUGUAAACUUCUUUUGUACAGGAAUAAAAGACAUUACGUGUAAUGUAUUGCAUGUACUGUACGAAUAAGCAUCGGCUAACUCCGUGCCAGCCGCCGCGGUAA